Molecule: non-coding RNA, 14918 nt
Organism: Rattus norvegicus (Norway rat)
Lineage: Eukaryota; Metazoa; Chordata; Mammalia; Rodentia; Muridae
Source: RefSeq, a predicted model, not a curated record
CUCCCCCUCCUCCUCCUUUUCUUUCUCCUUGUCAUCAUCAUCUUCUUCUUCCUAGCCUUUGGUCCCUUUCUCUUGUCCCCUUCCAUAUUAAGCACUUCUUUUUUUUUUUUUUUUUCUUUUUUUUUCCGGAGCUGGGGACCGAACCCAGGGCCUUGCGCUCGCUGAGCUAAAUCCCCAGCCCCCAUAUUAAGCACUUCUAAAAUCGGCAGUGCCUAACUUCUUUCUUUUAGCUAUCCCAGACACCGUCUCUGUCCAUCCCCACAGAUGUCCUCUGCAGAACAGGACACUGUGGCGCUCACCGCCUCUGUCUCUAUGUGGGACUCCCUGUCUGUCCUGUCCUUCUUCCUGCCCAUCUGAUCUUCCCAAAGGACAAGCAUUUAUCAUCCCCUCUCAAAACCUCCUGUAGGAUACAGUCCAAGUUCUUUGCUUUGGCACCGGAGGUCCUCUGUUCCUCUCUAGCCCCAGCAGUGCUCGGUGCAGGCAAAAGACUCCACAGCAGCCUCCACAGAGGCCACACCCUCAUGUCCUGUACCUGCUCAGACUGCCUCCCUGAGGCUGCUCUUCCUUUUCUUCUGGAUGGUAGCUGGUCCCUUGGGUGCAACACAAGUGCCUCUUCCACACAAGCCUCUGGAUCCUCUGAGGAGAGGCCAAAGUUUCUCUCCUGGAAUCUCCCCAGAAUCCUCUUGGUGCCUCCUGCCUAAGCCCUCUGAGCUGUAGCCCCCUGUCUUAAGUCUAGGACAGGAAAGUGUAGAAGAUGGAGAGCCAAGCUCCUGCCUGUAGGGUGAGUAGCCUUGCCUUCAUAGCUUCAGCACUGCAUCAUCAGACUUGGAAGAUUGGGAGCAGGCAAACAGAGGAAAGGGAGUGAGGUGUGUAUAUGUGUGCACAUGCGUAUAGGUAUGCACACAUGCAGAUGUGUGGUCAUAUGCCUUGGAAGUGCUCCUUUUCCUUAGCAGAAGCAUCAUUAUUUCAAGUGCAACUCAAUAAACAAACUCUACCUUUUUCUUCCCUCCGUUGCCUGCCUCUGUUCCCACCUGGUUGCGUCCUGGCCCAUUCCCAUAGCAACCCUCAAUCCCCACUAAGCCUCCAGGGGCCUGUCUGAGAAGGAGGGGAACGCACAUAAAAGACUGUACUGUUUUGCUUUUGCAGUCAUGUCUGCUGUCCUCCUGUUCCUGCAGCUUCCCGAGGCUUUGAGAGAUCCAACCUCUGAAGAUGAAUCGAAGACCAGUCCUUCUGCAUCACAUGCCACUCAGGACUGCUCUCACAGAGCCCGGAUGUAGUCAGCCUUGCCCAGCAGCCUCCAGGAGUUCCUGUGCACCCUAUUUUUCUCAAUACCACAGGAUUUCAGAUGAGGAAUCACAAGCCUGAUUGACCUGUAAUUUUCAAUGCUACCCUUUUAGUAUCACUAAAGGUCUGAACUGGAACAUAUCAAGAAGACACACGAGAAGGUCAAGGUGAUGGAGCUCUUGGCUGGUUAUCCACCUCACAAAGAGCCAAUCAGCAAAGCUUGAAUGACCUGUGUUUUCAUCUCUGACUCCUCUGCUCGGAGGCAUCAGUAAGUAGGUAGGUCCCAACUUCCCCAGGAAGUGAAGCUGUUCAUACUCACAAAGCAUAUUCUGUGAAGCCCCUGGAUCUGUAGCGUGAGUCAGGCCCACCACGUGACAAAGCCUCUGAUGGAGGCUGGGCGCCUUAAUGAAGAAAUAAUUAGUUCUAAGGCAUCACUUGAUGUAGAAGCCAGCUAAUGCCUUUUUAAUUGCUUCUGGUCUUGCAUCUUUAACAACCUCAUCUCCUCGACAACGUGGAAUCACUGUCACCUGCAGCCACAGCAUGGCUCUCAGGGAGCCACAGAUUCUAACCCCAGAGUAGCAGGGUAAAGGUCUCCAGCUUGGGUUAGCACACUGGGUGGUCCUCAAGCCACUCGAAUCUGAAGGGAUAGAAUGGCUAACCCUGAGCUCUCAGGAUUAGUACACAAGUGAGACUUUCCACAGCCUUGAAAACCCAAGGAUGCAAAGGAGGCAGGGCCAGUAGGGGUCAGACCUAAGGGAAUGAGAGCAGAAACAAAGGACUCGGAGAGGGGGAGGGGCCUCUCCCGGCUCGGUAGCUGAGAGAAAACCCCAUCUCUCGCUCUACUUUUAGCCAUUGAGCUCUAUGAAGCAAGACACGUUUUUACCUUUUUCAAAUGCUUUAGGUAUGACGUUUUAUUCUCCCGGGUGACUCAGACAAGAAGCUGGGGAAGUCAGCCCACUCCACAGGGUAGUGUGCACAGAAAGGGAUUGGCUUGGGACUGGCAGCAGAGGACGGUUGUGACUUGAAUCUGAAGUGACCCCUAAAAGGCCCAUGUGUUGAUUUUUGAUCUGGUGCCACUACUGAGAGGUGACUGGACAGGAGGACAAGAAUCUCUUCAAUGAGUCAAUUCACUGACCAAUCCAAAUGAAGUAUGCUUUUGGGAGGAGGACCUGAUUCAGGCAGAUAGGUUGCUGGAGAGUGUUGCUUGAAGAUGUUUCUAGAACCCUCUCUCUGACUUCUCUCUUGGGAGACCCUCUCCUUUUAUCACCCCUUUUCAGGAUCCUCUCUCAUCUCUCUCUCUCUCUCUGUCUCUCUCUGUCUCUCUCUCUCUGUCUCUCUCUCUCUCUCUCUCUGUCUCUCUCUCUGUCUCUCUCUGUCUCUCUCUUUCUCUCUCUCUCUCUCACACACACACACACACACACACACACACACACACACACACACACACACACACACACAGAGGAGCGCUCUCUGCUUCCUGCUGCUGUGAGGUAAGCCCUCUCCUCCGCCAUCUCCCUUCAGCAUAGCUCUGCUUUUACACAGGCUGGAAAGGAAUGCAGCCAGCUGACCCUGCACAGACACCCCUGUUAACCGAGAGCCAAAAACCAAACCUUUCCCUCUGUAAGUUGUUUGCCUCAGGCAUUUUGUCACAGUGGCAAAAGCUAAUUAACAGAAGAGAGCAAGGCCUGGGGGCUGAGCACUAUACAUCCAUGGGUCAAGAUCAUCGUUAAAGGAGAGACUGCAGAGGAGGGGUUCCCUUUCUCUAUUUCUAUGGGGUUUCAGCAAAAUCUUUUAAGAACGCUAAUUUUGUGAUAAUUCUUAAGAAUGCUAAUUUUGUGAUAAUUUCAUUAAGAGAUCGCAGAACCAGUGUCCUGAAGCCUGCUGUCUUUCACACAUUCAUUUGCUCACUUAUUCGGUGAACAUGCACUCUGGGUCCCAGCACAGAACCCAAUAAAGCACAUGGGAAGUAGUAUUUGGGGGGAGUAAAUGGAUUAUGGAUGCUGUGGUCAUUUAACCUGCCUUUCUCACAUCUUAUCUUGUCGAUGUCUUUCAGAUCAGUACAGAAGACUGUCCCUAAGGGGCUGGGCAUGUAGCUUAGUGGUUAGAGUCCUUGCCUAGCAUUUGUGGGGCUGUGUGUUCGAUUCUCAGCACCACAAUAAUCAGGUAUGGAUGCACACGGCUGUACUCCUGGGACCUUGGAGGUAGGAGGAUCACACGUCAAGGCCAUCCUCAGCUACACAGUGAGUUUGAGGCUAGCCUGGGCUAUGUGAGGCUACAUAAAAUACAAAAGACUAUCCCUGAGGGGAGGGUCUAUGAUCUGUGUCCAUUAUCUGUGCCCCAGCACAGUGGUCCUCAAUAAAUGCUUUUUAUGUAAACGAAUGCUUUUAUAUGUUUCCCUAGUGGGUAUUUGGCCAGAGAACAAGCUCGUCACACAGUCCUGCUGUGAUGUGGCCAUGUCAAACUUCCCAUGUCUUAAUUUCUUUAGCUCUAAAUAGAGAUAACAACACAUAUCCCACAGAGCUGACAGGAGGAUUAACUGGAAGGAAGCCUUUAAGCACUCUGUGUGUGUCUGGUACCCAGGGAAUGAUCAUGAUGGGCAUUUGUACUGUCUCCAGUGCCUCUGCGUCCAUUCUCUGGAUAUAGGCAUGUGCUUUCCCCGCGAUUCACUUCAGUGUGCUUGUGGGUGAGGAGCCGACGAGUCACGGAGCAUGUGGGUUUAAAUUUCAGAACUGGCAACAGGUCGCAUUUUAAAAAGCUGGUACAGAUUAUGCAUAUGCAUCCUGGUGGAUCACAGGCCUUAACUUAAGGAUGUCUUGCAUUUCUCAAGCCUUUGCUCUUGAGGGAGGGUGAGUGACUUGUUAUCUUGUGUAACCCAAGAGAAAGUUCUCCAUCCCACCCUGCCCUGUGGCCCAGCAUGAAACAGCUCUGUUGGAAAAUCCUAGACAUGGUGCCUAAUGUAAUCAAAGAGGCUUUAGUUGUGUCUCUCAAAGAGCAUUACUGAGGCAUUACUCAGAACUUCAAAGGCUGCUUCUCAAGCAUUUUCUUUUCUUCUUGUGUUCUAUGUCCCUGCAGACAGAGGGGCCCCAGGGGGUGGGUUGGGGGUGAGUCACAAGCCCAAAGGCUGGUUCUCACUACCUGUGAUCCCUGUAGUGAAGUGUUCAUCUUUGAUUUGCACAAAGCCCUCUCCACAUCUGCUGGGAGUAGGCCAAGUCAGUGUUGUGUUGGGCGAAGGCCCCUGUCCUUGACUGCAUCCCCAGAAGUUGGGGUCCAGCAAUCGGGGGAUCUCCAGAGAGUGCAAAACGCCUGCAGAUGGCUACCCUUCAAAUGCUAACUCACCUUCAUUCUUGCUUCCAGCCUUUAGAUCCUAGGGGUAUCUGUAUAUGGAGAGUGAUGUAGUUACUAUGGAAACCUAGGCUACAAAAAAUUAUGUUAGUGAGUUGUGGCCAGCAUCUUUUAAAAAAUGAAAGAGACUAGAUCAGAAUAUAAACUAUGAGAAUGGAUUGCAAGUGGAAAGGGUAAACAUUUUUUCUAAUAAAAUGGCUCUCUCUAGUGAGCACGCGCACACACACACACACACACACACACACACACACACACACACACACAAACGCUCAUGCUGGGAGUGUGUUUCUCUAUUUACUCCAGGAGAAGCUGAACUUGAAUGAAUGUGUGCUCCUGGUAUAUGGCUGAGAGCUUAAGGUUUUGGCAUGAGACUUGCCUAUUGACCUCCAAUCAUGCUUCCUCCUGCAGAUGCCAAUCCUCAUAGCAGUGACUUAUUUCAGUUUCUCCCUUUCCAUGUAGCUGGUUGAACCAUGCCAUGUACUUGUUGUAAUAGCCAGGACCCCUCUUGCCUGUGGCCAGUGGUCUCAGUUCCCCAGCCUGGCAGCUGGGCCCCAUCUGUGGGCUUCACAACACACUCUUGCUCUGGUCUCAGCUGCCCCGAGUUUAGAGGUUUCCUUGAGCUGUGUUGUGAAACCUUCUGUCCACACCUCAGAUCCCAUUGUGGAUUACAAGUCCUUCUGUCCUGCUGACUGCUUCCCUGCCAUCCCUUCAGGAGGAGCCUCCCUCCCUCAGAGCGUCCUCCCACCUUCUGCAAGCAGCUGGCCUUACUAUGUCUGGGGACUCUCCCAUUUUGGGGUCAUUUCAGUGUAGUUUUGGAGAGAUGAAGAGUGAUGGUUGGUGUCAAGUCUACAGACUUGAAAGCAGAAACUAGGCAUUUUGAAGUUGAGGUACCAUUCACAUAAAAUUAAUCAUUUUCAAAUGAAUAAGGCAUUUAGUGUAUCCACACUGUUCUGCAGCCACUGCCCUAUUUGAUUUUGCACUUCCCCAAACUCCUUCCAUACAUUGGCUACCCUGGAAGAAAACCCCAGGCAUUAAGCAGAUACUGCCCACUCUGCCCUCCCAACAGUUUUUGCCCAUCAGUAAUCUGUUCUGUUUGGAUUUUUUUCUACAGGUAGAACCAUGAAGUGUGUGACCUUUUGAAUCAAGCUUCUUUCACUUAGCAUAAUGUUUUUGUGGUUGCAUUAUCUAGUUCUUGUUUAUAGCUUAAUUUUUAUUCCCUUUUAUGGCUUAAUAAGAUAUCAUUCUGCUAUUAUGCUACAACCUAUUUCUCCAUUUAUUCAUCGACAGCGUGUAUACACAUGCCACAGUGCACAUGUGAAGGUCAAAGGCCAGUUUUGUGGAGUUGGUUCUUUCCUUCCACUAGUCCUGAAGUAAAUGUUGGAGAGGUUUGAGAGUUUGAUCCAUACCAAGGAGGAGCUCAGACUCCCAGUACCUGGAGCCUUCAAAUGUAGGCUGCUCCUGUACCUGGAGUCUUCAAAUGUAGGCUGCUCCUGGUAUCCUGCAGCAUGAUACCUUCUCCAGGAAAGGGACACUCCCAGCCUAGGUGAGGGGACCAGAGGUGGAGGAAAGCUUAAGUCCAUCCACAUUUAAGGAUAAGGCUAAAGGACCAUUCAUAGUACUGGGUAACAGGCCACCAGAGAGGGCCAAACUGGGCUCUGUGAGGGUUCUGAAUCUGCUGUAGUCUCCUAUGUCCAUUGCUUUGUUACCUGCUCUGUGCUUCUCACAGAUCCUCACCAAGAUCCUUCAAAUUCCAUUGAUCCGCACCUAAGGUUUUUCAGAAUUAACCAUGGAGGCCAGUUCUUCAGUCACAACAGGCUGAGGGAGACUCUGAAAGGAUCCAGAAGUGGCUGGGACAGAUGUAAGGGACUGUAUUUCAGUUAUUCACCAACCCCUAUCUGCUGGAGUCACAUCCAAGGUGACUGAGACAGUGAGAGAACAGGAUGAAAUUAAGGAAGGAAGGAAGAAAGGGAGGGAGGGAGGGAGGGAGGAAGGAAGGAUGGGAGGAAGGAAGGAAGGAAGGAAGAAGGAAGAAGGAAAGAAGGAAGGAGAAGCAUCAGCAGCAGCCCAUAGAAGAAGCAUGAACGUCCAUGUGGGGACCCUAAGAGGUGGGAGGAUGGGUUAGAGUACUUCCCAUGAGAAGCUCCCAUGACUAUUGGCAUGAUGAGGCUGUAAACGGACUGCAGUGGAGGGAAAGUGCUGAGAUGAGUUCUUUCUGGGUGUGGACCACUGCUUGAGGCCCAUGGCUGUUUGUUAGGCUUGGGGCAAUGUGCACGGUGUGCAGAGGGGGUGGGGUGUGCUUUCAGACUGGUGUGACUGACAGAAAGAGCUCAGAGCAGUGUAGGAUGAGAAGUGGUAGAAAACAUUUCCUUUGGAAAGGAGAAGCCCCAGGCCUGAGUUUCACUUUCAUCAAGGGUUACCAUGAUGAUGGGUUCAUUUUCUGUGGUUGCCAAAGCAGUUAUCUUGAAACUUAGUUCCUUAAAACAGGGUUCUAAAGUCUGAAGUCUGUCUGGGAUGAACCAAGCAAGGUGUGGAAGCUUUGGGACGUCUGCUCCAGGCCUUCAGCAUCCUUGUCACUUGGCCUCUUGUCUUAGGGUUUGAUUGCUGUGAACAGACACCAGGAGCAAGGCAACUCUUAUAAAAGAAAACAUUUAAUUGGGGCUGGCUUACUGUUUCUGAGGUUCAGUCCAUUAUCAUCAUGGCAGGAGGCAUAGCAGCCUUAGGUAGACAUGAUGCUAGCUGGAGGAGUUGAGAGUUCUACAUCUUGAUCCAAAGGCAGCCAAAAGGAGACUAUCUUUUGCAGGCAGCCAGGAGACUGGAAUUCCACCCUGGGCAGAGCUUGGACAUAGGAGACCUCAAAGCCCACCUCCACAGUGACACACUUCCUCCGACAAGGCCACACACACUCUAACAAGACCACACCUCCUAAUAGUGCCACUCCCUGUGGGCCACCAAGUAUCCAAACAUGAGUUUAUGGUGGCCAACUCUUGUAAUAGCAUCUCAACUCUGAGUCUCCUGGUUCUUCCUUCUCCUUUACAGGGGUCUCAAGAUUACAUGGGCACUUCUGAAUCCAGAAGAACCAGUGAUUCCCUGAUUCAAGUUCCUCAACUUAAUCCAGGUGAGGUGACUUAGCUACAGUUCUUGGAUUAGGACAAGGGCCUCCUGAGAGGCUGCUCUCUGGCUUACGAUACACGCAGAGGAAUUUCUUCUGGUUUUCCAUGGAGAGGUAGACUUUUGCAGUAAGGACUAGGUAACCCUGUCUCAUAGAUAUGACUUUCUAUAGGUGAGUGGGUUUAGGAACACUCCUGCUCUCUUGGGCUCUUAAAGCAGUGGAUGAAUUUUGCUUGGAUGGUCCAGCAAGAUAUCCUGUGUGGAGUGGGAUGCUAGACUAACUAGCCUCAAUGGUCUUGUCCAAUUUUCUGUCUGUUACUUUUACAUCAGUCUUUAAGGAUGCCAUUCUGGUUAUCUGGUUCAUGACCUAGGUUAUAAUUCCACAAGGUACAGGUAUAUUUAGGAUGGCAGCCCUGGCAGUGUCCUGUCUGCUGAGGCAGCAUACCCUGCAGGCCUCUGUGGUGCUUUGCUCAGAUGAGGUAUAAGCCAGCUAUAGUUCUUGAACGUUAAUGCCACCAGGAACAGCUGAAAAGAAACGGAUGGAUAUAUAACCAAUUCCCUCAUUCUGCUGGCACAGCUCCAGCCAUAGUCUCACCAUCAUUCUGAAGCCUCGAGAACAGACUCCACCUCUCAGCUGCUGCUCCCGGAGCUACACAAUGAAUGGUGAGAGGCCUUUGUCAUGAGUUUCUUCAGGAGUCACGUACUUAUUACUGACAUUCAUCUCAUCUCGACUCUCAGAACACAGCUUGUGAACAGCAGCCUGCUUUGUUGCUCCCGGGGUUUCUUAGCCUGUCCAUCUACACUAGGAUCGGGGUGUUUGUGACCAGUAGUUCAGCUGUUGCCUGCUGCAAACCUGCCUUCUUUUCUAGCCCCAAGGAAAGCCAAGCAUAUGAGGUCAUAUGGUGGUGGGUAAGAAUGUUCCUUUUGUAACAUAACUUACUUUGUAAGUUAUGUAUAUGGCCUCAGGGUCGGUCCUAGCUUCUGGUCCAGCACUCCAGUAUUUGUGAUGUCCUGGGUAGGUGCCUGUCCCUUCUCGUUGUGGGCAUGUAGUCUUUCUCUGAUUGCAGCCUCUUUAUACCCACAGAUUCUCCCUAGUCCAGCAACUUGUUGAGUGUCUACUCUGAGUGUCCACUCUGAGGAUCUUUUGUUGUUUGGGCUCAUCUUUGGCUACCUUACAUAUCUGGCAUCAUUUCAGGCUAGGACAGAUCCUACCAACUCUCAUCCAUGCACCCUGUCCUGAGUGAGAGUUUGUGGGUUUCCAAUCCUAACAUCAUCCAGCAAACAGCUCUCAAUCCUCCCUGUUUCCUUGCUUUCCACCCAUUUCAUUGGCUUUCAACUUUUUCUCUUUACUUCAUUUUCCUGUCCUGGGGCUGGGACAGUAAGGAACUUUGCCAGCUACCCUUAGAUUCCUGCUUUUCUUCAUGGCUCUCCUCUGGUGUCCUUUAUGUAGGACUGGGCAAGAAGAACCAGUGGACCAGCUUUGCUAGGAUUUAUCUACCUUCUCACCUCACAGUCCCGUCUCUAGCUCAGACGCUGAGAAAUCCAUGCCUUUGUCCCCUGGUAUCAACCAUUCACAAUCAGAUGCAAACAGUGACCCCUGUUCUCAGUUCUAGGUGGGGGUGGGUGGGCAAAGAGAGUGUAGGAAGCCAGUUGUCUUGUAGAAGACCUCUGCUUCUCUCCACAGGAAUUGCCCUGCCAGCCCUUGGUGGUGUGAACAGUAGGAACAGAUGACACUGGUUUCUCAGCAUCCUGAUCUCCUGUGGUCCUGGGGCAAGUCCAGCUUCAGAGGGAGAACAGGGCAGACUGACCAUAGAGCCGUUCAGAAGCAGCUGGGCCUGGCAGAGGGCAAGUGCUCGCCAGAGCUCACCCAGCCUGAGUCCAGCAGCCUCCUCCGCCUUGGAAUGAGAGCAGGUUCUAAAUCCUCUUCUCCAUUGCUGCCUGCUCGGCUUGGGGCCCGCAGCAGAUGGUGAGGUGGGCCCCACUGGGUCUGGAGCGUGGGUUUGAGAGUGCUAAUGUUUCUCAGAUCUCCUUUGUAGAUCAUCAACUGUGACAACAGUAUAGCUUGGGCCAGGAUGUGGAAAGGCACUGCCAGGUGGCGGGAGGGGCUGCUUCUUAAUUAAGGCACCUCCCCAGCUUGCUGAUGACAGCCGUGGGUUGGAAAUAAUGUGUGCACCUGUCUAUGACCAAGAGGCUGGAAUACUCUAGGACCAUGUUCAAGUGGGGUCCAGCCCCUGCAUCAGAAUAACAGGAGAAAUGGCAUCUUUCUCUUAUUGAACAUUGCUUAUAGUUCUAUCCAACCUGGCACACUCUUAUUUCUGCCUAUCCCAUUGUUCAUGUGUCUCUGAAUAUACUUUUAAUAUACUAUAACAGGAGAAUGCUUUAACAAUUCAUCCACGCAUAACAAGCAAUAGAGAAAACUCAGAUCUAGCUUAAUCUUAAUGAACAUUCCCAGCAACUCUACAGUUGAUGCUGAUGUGAAGCCCAGUUAACAGAUGAGAAAGUUAAGGCAAGAGGCUGAAGCCAGUAGAGCUGGUCACAGGGUGAGUUGGGAUUCAAGCUUAUCAUUAGGCAAACCUGCAUCCCAAGCCUCAGUCUAUUAUGAAGAACAGGGCAGGUCUGUGAAGAUCACAGUGAAGACAAAAGAAAAUGACACAGCAGCAAUUCACAGCCCAGAAACAGUCAUUUAGUGAUGGUUCCGGGACUAUUUGCAUGCCUGUGUGAAUUGUGUUGUGUGUUAACUUCGGUCAGAUAUAACACCAAUAUAUUUGGCCAGACAUUACUGGAAAGGUUUCAGUUGUUUUUUAAAGGUGAGAAAUCAACAUUUAAAUGAGCAGAUUUGGGGGAGAGGUGAUUGAGUCUCCUCCAUGAAUAACGUGGGUGGGCCUUAUCCUAUCAGUUGAUGGCUUCAAAGCAAAAAGACAGCUCUCCCACAGGAAGAUGGAAUUCUGCUAACAGAUCACUCCUACACUCAACUGCAGCCUGCCAUGGGAUUUCAGCCUGCCAAUUUGCCCCGUAGACUAUGGGCUUAUCAAGUCUCCAUCCAUGGUCAUGUGACCUGAUUCCUUAGACUCCAUCUAUCUCUGCCUUCCUCUGUACCCCUUUCUCUUCCUCCCUCCCUCUCUACCCCUUUCCUCCCUUCUUUCUCCCCGCUCUGAUUUCUGUCUUAUUAGUUACUGUCUCUGAAGAACCUUUGCGGAUACAUUUACUAGUAAGGGAAUACUUUAAUAAUGUGUAGAUCUAACAUCAUGGCAUAAUAGGCAACUAUCAAGGAGAACUUAGAUCCGUUUUGUUUUGUUUUUAAGAAAUGGCACAUGGUUUCCUGUUUGCCUGUGUGUUUUUCUAAGAGUAGAGAGCUUGGAAGAUGCAUACAUGGAGGGGGAUGAGGAAGCAGGGGGUGUCCUUAGAACCAGGGAGGGUACUUGGGUCCUUUCUUUCUUCCUUCCUUUCUUUCUUUCUUUCUUCCUUUCUUUCUUUCUUUCUUCCUUCCUUCCUUCCUUCCUUCCUUUCUUUCUUUCUUUCUUUUAUUCUUUUUUUCGGAGCUGGGGACCGAACCAAGGGCCUUGUGCUUGCUAGGCAAGUGCUCUACCACUGAGCUAAAUCCCCAACCCCGGGUCCUUUAUUUCUUUACCAUGAGAUUUUAGGACAUAUUACUGUUGCCGUUAUAAAGAUGAUAAAGACGAUGAAUUUGAUAAGAGACUGUUGGUUGUGGAUCUUCCUUCUCCCCUCAGUUCACAUGCAGGAGGGACAGGGCAGCAGAAACUUGCCUCAGUCUCUGUUUUUUUGUGUGUUUUAUGGUAGCGCCAGAUUCCCAUGCCCUCGCCUGCUCAGACCCUGGCCAAGAGUGUUUUACGGGCAUUAGCCUCCAUCCCUGGAGGCCUGUCUGGCAUCUGGGUAACCUUAGUGGUCCAUCGGGAUAGCUAGCAGAGGGAAAGCAGGACCCCACAGCUGGAGGGCAGCAACCUGCAAGCUCUGUGCUCCUUAAGCUUGGAAAUGUCCCGCUGACUAGCCGCUGUCCUAGGUGCUGAAACGUCAAUGGUGGCUGAAUUUUCAUUUACCAUCAACUGUGACAAAAUGUUGGCAAGACAGAGCCACUUGUUUGGGAAGUUUAGGAAAACAAGAUCUGGGUCAGAAUGGCCUGAGUUUGGCAACAGGGCCAUUUUGAUAUCAUCAGGAAAAUGUCAAGCAGCUCAAACCGCUGCGUCUCCUUCCUUUCAUAGGGUCAGCUACUGACAAUUGGAAUUGACUGUUGGUUUGACUGACUCAGCUGAAUCAAUGCACCACUUGAUGUUGCUGCCAAGAGCAAUCUCUACCUCCACUUCUACAGAGGGCAGGGUCCUUACCCCCAGAGACCAUGCAGGAUGCCAAUAGGAAGCGGGAACCCCAAGCUCCUCCCCAGCCAGCUUCCUUAGAGCCCUUCGAUUCAACACACAUUUACCUGAAAGGCACUCACUGUUGGAAAUCCCAGAGGCAGACAUGCUCAGCAGCCAGAAAUGGAUGGGCAUCCCACAUUUCAGGCAAGCAGAGGAUAUUCCAUAUAGCACAAGAAAGGGGCUCUGCGUAGAACAUACCUCAGAAUGGUCCUAUGGUAAUAAUGCUGGUAUCUGAGUUCAAAUGCUUGCAUCCUUUUUAGAGUCACAGUUGGAAAAUUCUCUAGUAGUAAUAUGGGAUGGACAUUUGUUCUCUGAGACAGGCCCUAUGCCGGAAAGGUUGAGUCCCAAGCCAGAAUGGAGAUAGCCAAGGCUGAGGACAUUAGCCAUGUUCCAGGGACUCAGCCCACCACAGGCAGCUGCCAAACUUCCCAAGAAGUGUCUGGGGAAAGGCUAACCAGAGGGUGGCGACAGCAAGCUCUCUGCCGUCAUCAUCCCUGUCGUGGAUGAGUGUGUAACUUCACUUACCAGCUGAUGGUGCUGUUCCAGGAGGCUGUGGAACCUUCAGGAAGUAGAUCCUGGUUGGGGAAAAUGGGUCACAGGGGUCCAGCCUUUAAGCUUCAUGAACAGACCCAAUUCCUGUCUGUUCUCUGCUUCUUGGCUGUACAUGUGUUAUGACAUCAGUCCCGUAUCCAUGCCUUCUUCCUGUCCUGGUUAGUUUUUGUCAACUUGAUACAAGUCAGAAGGCAUCUAGGAAAAGGACACUUGACUGAGAAAAUGUCCUCAUCAGAUUGGCCUGUAGGCAAGGCUGUAGGGCACUUUCUUGACUAAGGAUUGAUGUGAGAGGGCCCAGACCAUUGAGGGGCAGUCUCACCCCUGGGCAGGUGGUUCUGGGUAGGAUAAGAAAGCAGACUAAGCAAGCCAUGGGAAGUGAGCCAGGAAGCAGCUCUCCUCAUGCCUCUGCUUCAGUCCCUGCCUCCAGGUUCCUGCCUUGAGUUCCUUUCCUGAUAUGUGAACUGAAAAGUUCAGGUAAACCUCCACAAAUUUCUUUUGGUCAGUGUGCUUUAUUGUAGCAAUUUAAAGCAAUGUAGGACACUGGCCAGCCAUGCUGGACUACGUUCCCUUCAACAAGAGUCAGAACAAACCCCUCUUCCUUUUAGCUUCUUGUUAAGUAUUUGGUCACAGAAAUAAGAAAUUCGACAAACACAGCACCCAUCCCAGAGUGUGCCUGAGGGAUGUGGCUGGGAACCCCUGGGGAUGAUCCAGUUCAGAUUGAAGCUGGGACCUACAGUGCCUAUAGAGAGAGGGUGGCGUCUGGGUGUCAGGAAGGUGAGGUCUCCGGCCCUGAUACUGUGUUGGCUAAUUUUUGUGCCACUAACAACAGAUGGUCUAGGCAAUUUCUAAAGAAAUGAAUUUAAUUCUCACAGUUCCUGAGGCUGGGAAGUCUGAGCUCAAGGUGCCAGCAGGCUUAGUGUUGGUGAGAGCUGGUUUGGACACUUCUGAGAUGGUGCCUUAAAGAUGGGUUCUCCAGAGAGAGAGAACUGUAUUUUCACAUAGUAGAAUUUUCCAGGAGAGAGACACACAGAGACAGAGAGACAGAGACAGAGACAGACAGAGAGACAGAAAGACAGAGAGACAGAAAGACAGAGAGAGUCUGAAAAUCCUUUUCUAGUGACAUUCAUGGAAGCAGAGUCCUCAGGGCCCUGGGGAUUAAGGUUUACUGUGAGUUUGGGCAGGCCACACGUUCAAACCCAGCAGGCAGCAGCUUGCCGUGAGGCUCACUGGAUGUCCACUCCAUUUCCAUAUCCACCCCACAGCCAACCUCCAUCUCCAGGAUCUUCCUGAAUGAUGAAGAGCUGAGCCCUGAGGUAGAUCCUCACUGCUUAGGACGUUUACCUGCUCCAACCUCCACACAUCGAGAUACAGGACAACACAUGUGAGCUGAUCCUCACAUCCAGCACACAACAGACUUUCCAAAAACUCUCUGACCACAAAGUUGGUGCCAGAUCACAGUGGUGAGCAGACUCAGAAGUGUGCAGACCACCAAGUGAAGUCCCCACUCCCUAACCCUGCUCUACCAUAAGCAGCCACUCACAGCGCGGGGACAUCCUGUCCUCCGUGUUUGACUGUGAGAGCUCUGUUUCAUCUUCAAUUCCGAGCUUCAGUAAUGAAUUUUAAAAUUUGAAUUCUAGAAGACAGGAUGGACUCUGAUUUCAUAUUCAGAAGGUCUUGUUUGCAGAAGAUGUAGGUCUCAGGUAGACAAGCCACAGGCACAGUGUGGAGGAGCAGCCGAGUCUGGAGAUCUACACCUUGAGUAGAGACAGAGGCUCCGAUGGUAGGAGGAUCACCACAUUUUUGUUCUCAGAGGCUUUGAGGGCUGUCCUGUACCAGACUGGAAACCACGAACAUCUGAAUUCCUCUCAGUUCACUUCAUUCUGCCUCAGCUCCGCACAGUGCUUUGACCAGCAAUGGCUGCUCACUGUUGGUUUGCCACCUGACACAAGCGGAAGUUAUCAUAGAGAAAGGAGCCUUCGUUGAGGAAAUGCCUCCGUGAGACCCAGCUGUAAGGCAUUUUCUCAACGAGUGAUCAAGGAGGAGGAUCCAGCCCAUUGUGGGUGGUGCCAUCCCUGGGUGGUGGUCCUGGGUUCUAUAAGAGAGCAAGCUGAGCAAGCCAGGGGAAGCAAGCCAGUAAGUAACAUCCCUCCAUGGCCUCUGCAUCAGCUCCUGCUCCCUGACCUGCUUGAGUUCCAGUCCUGACUUCCUUUGGUGAUGAACAGCAUGUGGAAGUGUAAGCUGAAUAAACCCUUUCCUCCCCAA